GGGAUGGACUCGCGGCCUAUCAGCUUGUUGGUGAGGUAACGGCUCACCAAGGCGACGACGGGUAGCCGGCCUGAGAGGGUGACCGGCCACACUGGGACUGAGACACGGCCCAGACUCCUACGGGAGGCAGCAGUGGGGAAUAUUGGACAAUGGGCGCAAGCCUGAUCCAGCAACGCCGCGUGAGGGAUGACGGCCUUCGGGUUGUAAACCUCUUUCAGCAGGGACGAAGCGAGAGUGACGGUACCUGCAGAAGAAGGACCGGCCAACUACGUGCCAGCAGCCGCGGUAAUACGUAGGGUCCGAGCGUUGUCCGGAAUUAUUGGGCGUAAAGGGCUCGUAGGCGGUUUGUCGCGUCGGGAGUGAAAACUCAGGGCUCAACCCUGAGCGUGCUUCCGAUACGGGCAAACUAGAGGUAUGCAGGGGAGAAUGGAAUUCCUGGUGUAGCGGUGGAAUGCGCAGAUAUCAGGAGGAACACCGGUGGCGAAGGCGGUUCUCUGGGCAUUACCUGACGCUGAGGAGCGAAAGCAUGGGGAGCGAACAGGAUUAGAUACCCUGGUAGUCCAUGCCGUAAACGUUGGGCGCUAGGUGUGGGGACCUUCCACGGUUUCCGUGCCGCAGCUAACGCAUUAAGCGCCCCGCC
RNAcentral lists this ribosomal RNA (640 nucleotides) under Aeromicrobium sp. RKEM 1713. RNAcentral's name for it is "bacterial SSU rRNA". It matches the Rfam family "Bacterial small subunit ribosomal RNA", at positions 222 to 873 of the family's 1533-position model. The record is from RNAcentral. Lineage: Bacteria; Bacillati; Actinomycetota; Actinomycetes; Propionibacteriales; Nocardioidaceae.